This 254-nucleotide ribosomal RNA is filed under the name uncultured bacterium. Its description in RNAcentral is "partial 16S ribosomal RNA". It matches the Rfam family "Bacterial small subunit ribosomal RNA", at positions 524 to 776 of the family's 1533-position model. The record is from RNAcentral.
GACGAACCGUACGAACGUUAUUCGGAAUCACUGGGCUUAAAGGGUGCGUAGGCUGCGCAGCAAGUUGGGUGUGAAAUCCCUCGGCUUAACCGAGGAACUGCGCCCAAAACUGCUGUGCUCGAGGGAGAUAGAGGUGAGCGGAACUUAGGGUGGAGCGGUGAAAUGCGUUGAUAUCCUAAGGAACACCGGUGGCGAAAGCGGCUACACUGGAUCUCUUCUGACGCUGAGGCACGAAGGCUAGGGUAGCGAACGGG